AUGAAAAAGAAAAUCAAUCAAAUGAUAUUGCACCAACUUCUUUCUAACCAACUCGCAAGCCCCAACCUUACUCCUGAAAAACUUUCUGAUGAUAAUCUGUAUGCAUUCUUUGGAAAUCUACUCAUGUAUAAUGAGAAAACACCCAAGUCAUUCAGAGAAGUCAAUUUAAAGAAGUCUACAGCCUGAUAGAUCGGUCAUUAGCAAAGGACUGAACAAGGGGAGGGGCAAAGAUAAAUCCUAUGAGUUUACAGAAGUCAAAGAAGCCAAAGAACACAGAAGCUGUGGGAGAGGCCCGGAGACAUGGUUAAAGCUUCCAGGAUGUGGACAGAGUAUGGACAAUGCUGUACCAAUGCCACAUCUUCAAAUGAUCCAUAAAGUUGCCCUCAGACAAGCUUAUCACGAUCCCUUGUAGGGUGUUGAAUUACUCUUGGGACACAGUUCUUAAUCUGCCUUAUGCUCUAUGGAUUUGGGUUA
RNAcentral lists this long non-coding RNA (474 nucleotides) under Vulpes vulpes (red fox). RNAcentral's name for it is "lncRNA (ENSVVUG00000025479.1)". The record is from RNAcentral. Lineage: Eukaryota; Metazoa; Chordata; Mammalia; Carnivora; Canidae.